UUUAUCAUUUCAUAGAUCUAAUUUUAAGUAUUAGGCUAAUAUAAUUCACUAAACAUGUUUAACUUAUGUCUUCUUACAACUUGCACCUGGAAUACAUACAAAGUAAUACAUUGAGUACUAAUUUGACCUUGUUGUCUCUUCACAGGCCAGCACAUCAAGUAUUUACAUUCAGCUGCUUCUCUCAAUGGAUGUUGCCUGCCAUACAGACUACCUGGAAACACAUACCAGGAUAGUCGCCACACGACUAUCCUUAAAGACUUUGCUGCCCCAUUUUACAAGCGACGAAUUUAGAGACCAUAGCCCGCAGCGCAGCGGCACCUCAGAGAGUCUGGGUGUGGACGCCCCUGGCUCCUCCCACAUGUCCAGUCACAACAGGGAGCUGCGGAUCCUGAGCGUCUACGGAAAAGGGGAGGGCCCACUGGCGGUGGACGGCCAUGACACCCUCUUCACCGCGUCCGAAGUGGAGGCCCUGAACUCGCUGUCUGCGGACAACAGCGUGGUCAAGAGCCUGGAGCGCGGCGCGCGGCUGGUCUGCCACGAGGAGCUGCGUGUGCAGGUUGGAAAUCAUCUUCUUAUUCAGCAUCCAAAAGAGAGGCUUCCUCUGUUACAACUCCAGCACACACCCUUAGAAAGCUCACACAUCUAUGAUUUAAUGAGUCGUAUGUGUAGCCUGGCUAUUUCCAGACUCGUUGGUCUAGGGAAGUUGCUGUCAUUUUCUUCAGCACAAGAGGCUUGAUCAACGGGCCUAGUUCAACUGACUCUGUACGCAAAUGGCUGCUUGCCGUCGCUUCCCUGUCGUCAUUGUGUUAAACCAGCCAAUAGGAUGCCAGGGGGAGAAGCCAACUUGGUGAUUGGCGUUGUCGCACCAAAAUUGUACCGGGGGUGAAAAUUGUACCACCUACGUAAUUUGGUUCGAAACAUUAAGUCAUCGUUUCGACACGAUUGUCCGUUGCUUGGCAGGUUUAAAAAAACAUUCGCGCUCAUGUUGCCAAAGAAGAAAAAACAUAAUGCAGACAACACUUUUUUUUACUUUAUAUUUAUUUUGUAUUGAAUAUAGCUAGUAAACUGAGUGUUUUAUAGUGUAUCAUAGUCUAGC
This 1096-nucleotide long non-coding RNA is filed under the name Gadus morhua (Atlantic cod). RNAcentral's name for it is "lncRNA (ENSGMOG00000036293.1)". The record is from RNAcentral. Lineage: Eukaryota; Metazoa; Chordata; Actinopteri; Gadiformes; Gadidae.